AUUCGAUGCAAAGCGAAGAACCUUACCAGGGAUUGACAUGCCGGAAGUACCGACCUGAAAGGGAAGGGACCCGUAAAAUCGGGGGCCGGCACAGGUGGUGCAUGGUUGUCGUCAGCUCGUGCCGUGAGGUGUUGGGUUAAGUCCCGCAACGAGCGCAACCCUUAUCUUUAGUUGCCAUCGGUCUGGCCGGGCACUCUAAGGAGACUGCCGGCGACGAGCCGGAGGAAGGUGGGGAUGACGUCAAGUCCUCAUGCCCCUUAUGCCCUGGGCUACACACAUGCUACAAUGGCCGGGACAGAAGGUUGCCACUCCGCGAGGAGGCGCUAAUCCCCAAACCCGGUCUCAGUUCGGAUCGCAGGCUGCAACUCGCCUGCGUGAAGCCGGAAUCGCUAGUAACCGCAGGUCAGCCACACUGCGGUGAAUACGUUCCCGGGCCUUGUACACACCGCCCGUCACACCAUGGAAGCUGGUUCCACCCGAAGCCGCUGGCCUAACCCGCAAGGGAGGGAGGCGUCGAAGGUGGGGUUGGUGACUGGGGUGAAGUCGUAACAAGGUAGCCGUACGGGAACGUGCGGCUGGAUCACCUCCUUU
This 591-nucleotide ribosomal RNA is filed under the name bacterium. RNAcentral describes it as "bacterial SSU rRNA". It matches the Rfam family "Bacterial small subunit ribosomal RNA", at positions 949 to 1533 of the family's 1533-position model. The record is from RNAcentral.